Molecule: ribosomal RNA, 501 nt
Filed under: Nonionella sp. T5
Lineage: Eukaryota; Foraminifera; Rotaliida; Nonionidae
Description: SSU rRNA
Rfam family: Eukaryotic small subunit ribosomal RNA
Source: RNAcentral
GAGCAUGUGGCUUAAUUUGACUCAACGCGGGAAAUCUUACCGGGUCCGGACACACUGAGGAUUGACAGGCAAUAUUAAAUAUACUCUAACUAUACUCUCAUAUAUUUUCUGUUGUAUUUAUGUUAAAUAUGCUAGUCCUUUCAUGAUUAUGUGAUAGGUGGUGCAUGGCCGUUCUUAGUUCGUGGAGUGAUCUGUCUGCUUAAUUGCGUUUCACUAAGGGCCUAUACAUUUACGUGUGUUGCGGCACUUUGACCCCUCUUAUUCACGUAAGAGCGCGUGUCUUAGUUUUUGCUUAGCUCGCACAAUUAGGUCCUGAAAGCAACGAACGUGACCGCAACCUCUUGUUGCCUUUUGAUACCAACGGCGCAUUUUGUUCACAUUCACUUUCGCUUGCGUUUGUGUAUUGUGUGUAAUUGUGCUGCAAAAAGGCUUUCUAAACUAGAGGGACCGCUGUUACUUUCUUAAACCAGAGGAAGGUUGCGGCAAUAACAGGUCUGUGAU